RNAcentral lists this unclassified non-coding RNA (463 nucleotides) under Hevea brasiliensis (rubber tree). The record is from RNAcentral. Lineage: Eukaryota; Viridiplantae; Streptophyta; Magnoliopsida; Malpighiales; Euphorbiaceae.
CUCAAUGCCUUUCAGUCCAGACAACAAAUCAGCUUGAGACCACAUAUCCUUCAUGGUGUUAUAUUCCACUCUCAACUCUUCUAAACUUGGGAUCGCAACCUUCCCGCCAGAAGAGGCUGCAAUGGAAAAAACAAAGUCCCCAUUGUGAAUUCCUGCUUCAUUUCCCUCAGCAAUCAUGCUUAGAUCUUGUUCCUCACAAAAUUUUGAAGCUAAUAAUUCCAUGUUUGGACAGCCAACCAUAUCAAUUCUUUUCAGGGAUGGGCAUUUCAGAAAAUCCCUUGCAGAAUAAAAACUUGACAAGUUAGGCAAACACUCGAGACUUAUGGACUUCAUUGAUGGAAACAUGAUCUUAUCUUUCGCUAUUUCCUCUUCUGCUUCUUUUGUGAUGAUAUGUUCCACCAAACAACAUCUUUUUAAUUCCAUAUGUUGGAGAUUUACGAGACCCGAAGCCAUGGACAGAGUA